CCUACGGGAGGCAGCAGUGGGGAAUAUUGGACAAUGGGCGAAAGCCUGAUCCAGCCAUGCCGCGUGUGUGAAGAAGGCCUUCGGGUUGUAAAGCACUUUCAGUGGGGAAGAAAGCCUUGGGGCUAAUACCCUCGAGGAAGGACAUCACCCACAGAAGAAGCACCGGCUAACUCCGUGCCAGCAGCCGCGGUAAUACGGAGGGUGCGAGCGUUAAUCGGAAUUACUGGGCGUAAAGCGCGCGUAGGCGGUCUGAUAAGCCGGUUGUGAAAGCCCCGGGCUCAACCUGGGAACGGCAUCCGGAACUGUCAGGCUAGAGUGCAGGAGAGGAAGGUAGAAUUCCCGGUGUAGCGGUGAAAUGCGUAGAGAUCGGGAGGAAUACCAGUGGCGAAGGCGGCCUUCUGGACUGACACUGACGCUGAGGUGCGAAAGCGUGGGUAGCAAACAGGAUUAGAACCCGUGUAGUC
This 464-nucleotide ribosomal RNA is filed under the name Vreelandella stevensii. RNAcentral describes it as "partial 16S ribosomal RNA". It matches the Rfam family "Bacterial small subunit ribosomal RNA", at positions 338 to 795 of the family's 1533-position model. The record is from RNAcentral. Lineage: Bacteria; Pseudomonadati; Pseudomonadota; Gammaproteobacteria; Oceanospirillales; Halomonadaceae.